Molecule: ribosomal RNA, 497 nt
Filed under: uncultured bacterium
Lineage: Bacteria
Description: partial 16S ribosomal RNA
Rfam family: Bacterial small subunit ribosomal RNA
Source: RNAcentral
GAUGAACGCUGGCGGCGUGCCUAAUACAUGCAAGUCGAUCGAACAGCCGUGCUGCUUGCUCCUUCCACGUUAGCGGCGGACAGGAGCGUAACACGUACGUAACCUACCUAUAGGACUGGCAUACCUUCGGGACUCCGGAGCCCAUACCAGAUAAUACUUCCACACGUAUGGUUCGAUGGAGAAAGAUGCUUUUGCUAUCACUUAUAGACGGAUCUGGUCAUGAUUGGCUAGUUGGUAAGGUAACGGCUUACCAAGGCAACGGUAAGUAGCCGACAUGAGCGGGAGAUCGGGCAGACUGGAACGGGUACACGGUCCAGAGGCGUCCGGGAGGCAGCAGUAGGGAAUCUUCCGCAAAGGGCUGAAGACUGACGGAGAAACGCCGCGUGAGUGAUGAAGGUCUUCGGUUCGUAAAACGCAGUUAUUAGGGAAGAACAAACGUGUAAGUAACUGAGCACGACAUGACGGUACCUAAUCAGAAAGCCACGGCUAACUACGUG